CCUACGGGGGGCAGCAGUGAGGAAUAUUGGUCAAUGGACGCGAGCCUGAACCAGCCAAGCCGCGUGCGGGAUGACGGCUCUAUGGGUUGUAAACUUCUUUUAUACGAGGAUAAAGCGCGGGACGCGUCUCGCUUUGCAUGUAUCGUACGAAUAAGGAUCGGCUAACUCCGUGCCAGCAGCCGCGGUAAUACGGAGGAUCCGAGCGUUAUCCGGAUUUAUUGGGUUUAAAGGGUGCGUAGGCGGUCUGAUAAGUUAGCGGUGAAAGGUCGGGGCUCAACCAAAAAAUUGCCGCUGAUACUGGUGGGCUUGAGAAUAGUUGAGGCAGGCGGAAUGCGUGGUGUAGCGGUGAAAUGCAUAGAUAUCACACAGAACCCCGAUUGCGAAGGCAGCCUGCCAAGCUAUAACUGACGCUGAUGCACGAAAGCGUGGGUAGCGAACAGGAUUAGAUACCCGAGUAGUC
RNAcentral lists this ribosomal RNA (460 nucleotides) under uncultured bacterium. RNAcentral describes it as "partial 16S ribosomal RNA". It matches the Rfam family "Bacterial small subunit ribosomal RNA", at positions 338 to 795 of the family's 1533-position model. The record is from RNAcentral.